Molecule: ribosomal RNA, 462 nt
Filed under: uncultured bacterium
Lineage: Bacteria
Description: bacterial SSU rRNA
Rfam family: Bacterial small subunit ribosomal RNA
Source: RNAcentral
GACGAACGCUGGCGGCGUGCCUAACACAUGCAAGUCGAACGGGGUAAUGACUUCGGUUAUUACUUAGUGGCGAACGGGUGAGUAACGCGUGAGGAACCUGCCUCUCAGUGGGGGACAACAGUUGGAAACGACUGCUAAUACCGCAUAACACUUCCGGAUGGCAUCAUUUGGAAGUCAAAGCUUUAUGUGCUGAGAGAUGGCCUCGCGUCUGAUUAGCUAGUUGGUGGGGUAACGGCCCACCAAGGCGACGAUCAGUAGCCGGUCUGAGAGGAUGAACGGCCACAUUGGGACUGAGAUACGGCCCAGACUCCUACGGGAGGCAGCAGUCGGGAAUAUUGCGCAAUGGAGGAAACUCUGACGCAGUGACGCCGCGUGCAGGAAGAAGGUUUUCGGAUUGUAAACUGCUUUAGACAGGGAAGAAACAAGACAGUACCUGUAGAAUAAGCUCCGGCUAACUACGUG